GUGGGGAAUCUUCCGCAAUGGACGAAAGUCUGACGGAGCAACGCCGCGUGAGUGAUGAAGGUCUUCGGAUUGUAAAGCUCUGUUAAUCGGGACGAAAGAGCCUAGUGUGAAUAAUGCUAGGAAGUGACGGUACCGGAAUAGAAAGCCACGGCUAACUACGUGCCAGCAGCCGCGGUAAUACGUAGGUGGCAAGCGUUGUCCGGAAUUAUUGGGCGUAAAGCGCGCGCAGGAGGAUCUGCCAGGCGGUCUUAAAAGUUCGGGGCUUAACCCCGUGAUGGGAUGGAAACUACAGAUCUAGAGUAUCGGAGAGGAAAGUGGAAUUCCUAGUGUAGCGGUGAAAUGCGUAGAUAUUAGGAAGAACACCAGUGGCGAAGGCGACUUUCUGGACGAAAACUGACGCUGAGGCGCGAAAGCCAGGGGAGCGAACGGGAUUAGAUACCCCAGUAGUCC
RNAcentral lists this ribosomal RNA (450 nucleotides) under uncultured bacterium. RNAcentral's name for it is "partial 16S ribosomal RNA". It matches the Rfam family "Bacterial small subunit ribosomal RNA", at positions 354 to 796 of the family's 1533-position model. The record is from RNAcentral.